RNAcentral lists this ribosomal RNA (391 nucleotides) under uncultured bacterium. Its description in RNAcentral is "bacterial SSU rRNA". It matches the Rfam family "Bacterial small subunit ribosomal RNA", at positions 47 to 435 of the family's 1533-position model. The record is from RNAcentral.
CCUAACACAUGCAAGUCGAACGGUAACAGGAAGAAGCUUGCUUCUUUGCUGACGAGUGGCGGACGGGUGAGUAAUGUCUGGGAAACUGCCUGAUGGAGGGGGAUAACUACUGGAAACGGUAGCUAAUACCGCAUAACGUCGCAAGACCAAAGAGGGGGACCUUCGGGCCUCUUGCCAUCGGAUGUGCCCAGAUGGGAUUAGCUAGUAGGUGGGGUAACAGCUCACCUAGGCGACGAUCCCUAGCUGGUCUGAGAGGAUGACCAGCCACACUGGAACUGAGACACGGUCCAGACUCCUACGGGAGGCAGCAGUGGGGAAUAUUGCACAAUGGGCGCAAGCCUGAUGCAGCCAUGCCGCGUGUAUGAAGAAGGCCUUCGGGUUGUAAAGACUU